GAGUAGAGCAGUUGGUAGCUCGUCGGGCUCAUAACCCGGAGGUCGCAGGUUCAAAUCCUGUCUCC
RNAcentral lists this transfer RNA (65 nucleotides) under human gut metagenome. It matches the Rfam family "tRNA", at positions 5 to 66 of the family's 71-position model. From Rfam's summary of the family: Transfer RNA (tRNA) molecules are approximately 80 nucleotides in length. Their secondary structure includes four short double-helical elements and three loops (D, anti-codon, and T loops). The record is from RNAcentral. RNAcentral also lists the same sequence under 1 other name.